Molecule: long non-coding RNA, 682 nt
Filed under: Chinchilla lanigera (long-tailed chinchilla)
Lineage: Eukaryota; Metazoa; Chordata; Mammalia; Rodentia; Chinchillidae
Description: lncRNA (ENSCLAG00000025880.1)
Source: RNAcentral
CCCACUAGGGGGCACUCAGGAAUCUUCCUGCGGGUUUCUGCCCUGGCUUUUAGGAUGUCAACUUGGGUCUUGCCCUUGGAACCUUUGGGUUCUUUAAUACUUCUCUUGACUUGCUAAGUGAGUUUUCAGCCUAUGGGUCUGAGAAGCAUCACAACUAUCAUUUUUAUCCCAUCAAAAUCGUCUUUGGAAAGCCCUUCGUCUUGGAUAUAACACCUCCGCAGCAGAUAGCUGCUGCCAUCCCUCAGGGGAGGCUGAGAUUUCAUCCUUAGAGGGAGUCGCUCGCUAUACUUGUGAAAGACAGUCUCUUCCUGCAUCCGGGCGCAGAGCGACACAGUCCUUCCGGUCCCUGUGAGCCACAGCAGAUGCGUCUUUCACACACCCAUCCCGUCAUCCGGGAAUCUGCUUCAGACUUCUCAGGGUCCUGCCAUCCUUUCUGUCCACCGGUGUGGACCCUGCUGUGGUUGAGCCGACACCAGCUGGGGCUCCUGCUCCACUCCGACCACGGGCAACACAGCUUUAGGGAUCAAGACGCACAAAUUCUCUUCGCCAGCUGGGAAGCCGCCUUCCAACAAAAUAGCAAUGCAAAACUUCCCUGUAGUCACUGCGUUCACUGGAUGGUGUUGGUAGGUGUAGCUCACCUGCCAUCUCUCCUUUCCCUGGGGCUGGAGCAGGGAUGGCCAGG